This 488-nucleotide ribosomal RNA is filed under the name uncultured prokaryote. RNAcentral's name for it is "partial 16S ribosomal RNA". The record is from RNAcentral.
CCUACGGGUGGCUGCAAUAGCAAUCUUUCUACUUCUAACAGAAGGCGUAUUACAAACUUCAUUAAUAAGGUUAAAGAUUUGAUCAUGCAAACUGGAAAAAUCUGCAUAGAAGAUAUCAGGAAAAAGUAUUCCGCAAGAUUUUUUAAUGUCUACUAUACAAUGGGUUAGGAUUAAUUCUAUCUCACUAUCGCUGAAUAACUUUUCCAAGAUUAGACCUUUAUAUAUUUAAUUAUAUUUGAAAGUCAUAGUAAUACAUACCCUUCCCACCACAUCCAUCCCCAUGAUACUAAUAUAACUAUAACUAAUAGUAAAGUUAUUCCAUCAAUUAUCUUCCAAAUUAUUUGGUGAUGUCCUGAGUGAUGGUAAAGGUGCUUUUUACCACGGUGCGCACAUUUCCAUCGGCAUCGGUCAACUGAACAUCGUAGAAAUAUGCCCCAAUAAUUGCGGUAUUGGCCGCUGUCGGAGUGAACGUCACCACCCUAGUAGUC